This 705-nucleotide ribosomal RNA is filed under the name Aliivibrio sp. RNAcentral's name for it is "bacterial SSU rRNA". It matches the Rfam family "Bacterial small subunit ribosomal RNA", at positions 349 to 1048 of the family's 1533-position model. The record is from RNAcentral. Lineage: Bacteria; Pseudomonadati; Pseudomonadota; Gammaproteobacteria; Vibrionales; Vibrionaceae.
CAGCAGUGGGGAAUAUUGCACAAUGGGCGAAAGCUGAUGCAGCCAUGCCGCGUGUAUGAAGAAGGCUUCGGGUUGUAAAGUACUUUCAGUAGGGAGGAAGGUGUUGUAGUUAAUAGCUGCAGCAUUUGACGUUACCUACAGAAGAAGCACCGGCUAACUCCGUGCCAGCAGCCGCGGUAAUACGGAGGGUGCGAGCGUUAAUCGGAAUUACUGGGCGUAAAGCGCAUGCAGGUGGUUCAUUAAGUCAGAUGUGAAAGCCCGGGGCUCAACCUCGGAACCGCAUUUGAAACUGGUGAACUAGAGUGCUGUAGAGGGGGGUAGAAUUUCAGGUGUAGCGGUGAAAUGCGUAGAGAUCUGAAGGAAUACCAGUGGCGAAGGCGGCCCCCUGGACAGACACUGACACUCAGAUGCGAAAGCGUGGGGAGCAAACAGGAUUAGAUACCCUGGUAGUCCACGCCGUAAACGAUGUCUACUUGGAGGUUGUUCCCUUGAGGAGUGGCUUUCGGAGCUAACGCGUUAAGUAGACCGCCUGGGGAGUACGGUCGCAAGAUUAAAACUCAAAUGAAUUGACGGGGGCCCGCACAAGCGGUGGAGCAUGUGGUUUAAUUCGAUGCAACGCGAAGAACCUUACCUACUCUUGACAUCCAGAGAAUUCGCUAGAGAUAGCUUAGUGCCUUCUGGAACUCUGAGACAGGUGCUGCAUGG